This 886-nucleotide ribosomal RNA is filed under the name Curtobacterium sp. RNAcentral describes it as "bacterial SSU rRNA". It matches the Rfam family "Bacterial small subunit ribosomal RNA", at positions 563 to 1446 of the family's 1533-position model. Lineage: Bacteria; Bacillati; Actinomycetota; Actinomycetes; Micrococcales; Microbacteriaceae. The record is from RNAcentral.
AAGAGCUCGUAGGCGGUUUGUCGCGUCUGCUGUGAAAUCCCGAGGCUCAACCUCGGGCUUGCAGUGGGUACGGGCAGACUAGAGUGCGGUAGGGGAGAUUGGAAUUCCUGGUGUAGCGGUGGAAUGCGCAGAUAUCAGGAGGAACACCGAUGGCGAAGGCAGAUCUCUGGGCCGUAACUGACGCUGAGGAGCGAAAGCGUGGGGAGCGAACAGGAUUAGAUACCCUGGUAGUCCACGCCGUAAACGUUGGGCGCUAGAUGUAGGGACCUUUCCACGGUUUCUGUGUCGUAGCUAACGCAUUAAGCGCCCCGCCUGGGGAGUACGGCCGCAAGGCUAAAACUCAAAGGAAUUGACGGGGGCCCGCACAAGCGGCGGAGCAUGCGGAUUAAUUCGAUGCAACGCGAAGAACCUUACCAAGGCUUGACAUACACCGGAAACGGCCAGAGAUGGUCGCCCCCUUGUGGUCGGUGUACAGGUGGUGCAUGGUUGUCGUCAGCUCGUGUCGUGAGAUGUUGGGUUAAGUCCCGCAACGAGCGCAACCCUCGUUCUAUGUUGCCAGCGCGUUAUGGCGGGGACUCAUAGGAGACUGCCGGGGUCAACUCGGAGGAAGGUGGGGAUGACGUCAAAUCAUCAUGCCCCUUAUGUCUUGGGCUUCACGCAUGCUACAAUGGCCGGUACAAAGGGCUGCGAUACCGUAAGGUGGAGCGAAUCCCAAAAAGCCGGUCUCAGUUCGGAUUGAGGUCUGCAACUCGACCUCAUGAAGUCGGAGUCGCUAGUAAUCGCAGAUCAGCAACGCUGCGGUGAAUACGUUCCCGGGCCUUGUACACACCGCCCGUCAAGUCAUGAAAGUCGGUAACACCCGAAGCCGGUGGCCUAACCCUUGUGG